RNAcentral lists this ribosomal RNA (116 nucleotides) under Escherichia coli. RNAcentral also lists the same sequence under 2 other names. Lineage: Bacteria; Pseudomonadati; Pseudomonadota; Gammaproteobacteria; Enterobacterales; Enterobacteriaceae. The record is from RNAcentral.
CCUGGCGGCAGUAGCGCGGUGGUCCCACCUGACCCCAUGCCGAACUCAGAAGUGAAACGCCGUAGCGCCGAUGGUAGUGUGGGGUCUCCCUAUGCGAGAGUAGGGAACUGCCAGGC